GACGAACGCUGGCGGCGUGCUUAACACAUGCAAGUCGAGCGGGAUCCAACCGGUGGCAACACCGGGGAAGAUCUAGCGGCGAACGGGUGAGUAACACGUGAGCAACCUGCCCCGAAGACUGGGAUAACACCGGGAAACCGGUGCUAGUACCGGAUGUCGUCAUUAGGCCGCAUGACCUGAUGAUGAAAGGAUUCAUCGCUUCGGGAGGGGCUCGCGGGCUAUCAGCUUGNGGUGGGGUAACGGCCUACCAAGGCGACGACGGCUAGCUGGUCUGAGAGGACGACCAGCCACACUGGGACUGAGACACGGCCCAGACUCCUACGGGAGGCAGCAGUGGGGAAUCUUGCGCAAUGGGCGAAAGCCUGACGCAGCAACGCCGCGUGGGGGA
This 388-nucleotide ribosomal RNA is filed under the name uncultured bacterium. RNAcentral describes it as "bacterial SSU rRNA". It matches the Rfam family "Bacterial small subunit ribosomal RNA", at positions 28 to 408 of the family's 1533-position model. The record is from RNAcentral.